AGCAUUUCAGGCCAAGCCGCUGGCUGCCUGGCUUCUGUUUUUACUCCUUUCCUUCUGUCCCUUUCUGGGACGAGCCACACCUUCUCUGCUUUCUCUGGGCCCGUCCAGGACGCUGGGCCCGGGGCCUGGCGCGGUGAGCUGCAGAUAGCCGGGGGCGCAGGGCAGCCCGGAGGCUGGAGGGCGACCUGGAAGGCUGGACCGGUUCGGGGCAUCUGGUGCUCAAGGAAAGUCAGCUCCCGCCGCCCCUCGGGGCCAGCUUGGCUUGAAGGAGUACUUUAGGACUCAGAACAACAGGAUGAAGACAGCAGCUAAAAUAGAACACACCAGCAGAGACGUUCAGCUCCUUGAGCUGUGCUUCCGAAGCUCAAGCAUGGCAGAGUGGCCUUGUUAAAUCAGAGUUCAGGGUGCCACCCUG
Molecule: long non-coding RNA, 415 nt
Filed under: Homo sapiens (human)
Lineage: Eukaryota; Metazoa; Chordata; Mammalia; Primates; Hominidae
Description: non-protein coding lnc-CAPN9-1:10
Source: RNAcentral